RNAcentral lists this ribosomal RNA (484 nucleotides) under uncultured bacterium. RNAcentral's name for it is "partial 16S ribosomal RNA". It matches the Rfam family "Bacterial small subunit ribosomal RNA", at positions 28 to 523 of the family's 1533-position model. The record is from RNAcentral.
GACGAACGCUGGCGGCGUGCUUAACACAUGCAAGUCGAACGGAAAGGCCCUGCUUUUGUGGGGUGCUCGAGUGGCGAACGGGUGAGUAACACGUGAGUAACCUGCCCUUGACUUUGGGAUAACUUCAGGAAACUGGGGCUAAUACCGGAUAGGAGCUCCUGCUGCAUGGUGGGGGUUGGAAAGUUUCGGCGGUUGGGGAUGGACUCGCGGCUUAUCAGCUUGUUGGUGGGGUAGUGGCUUACCAAGGCUUUGACGGGUAGCCGGCCUGAGAGGGUGACCGGCCACAUUGUGACUGGGAUACGGCCCAGACUCCUACGGGAGGCAGCAGUGGGGAAUAUUGCACAAUGGGCGGAAGCCUGAUGCAGCAACGCCGCGUGCGGGAUGACGGCCUUCGGGUUGUAAACCGCUUUCGCCUGUGACGAAGCGUGAGUGACGGUAAUGGGUAAAGAAGCACCGGCUAACUACGUGCCAGCCGCCGCCGUAA